Long non-coding RNA from Quercus lobata, 2815 nucleotides. RefSeq lists it as uncharacterized. The record is from RefSeq and is a predicted model, not a curated record. The transcript has 2 exons. Lineage: Eukaryota; Viridiplantae; Streptophyta; Magnoliopsida; Fagales; Fagaceae.
UCUACAUUUUUAUUAUUGGAGAUUGGAUAUCUUGCUUGUCUACUUUGUCAGUUUUUUAAAUUUAAGUGGUGAUGCAUUUGUGGUACUUAAGCUAGGUUGAUUUUGUUUGGUUGCUUCUUGGUGAAACGUGCUUUUGAGUAGUCUUGCUCUUUAUAAAAUUUUUCAUUUUUCCUUUAGAAGUAAAAUCUUAUAAUUUAUAAUUAUCCCAAACUACGUAGCUGGAAUUCUGUUUUUCAGUUUGCUCAUGUGGUCAUCUUUCAUGUAGCACUUGUACAUUUGUCUUCUUGUCUAUUGAUGUUUUUUUUGCUUCUAGUGGAACCUGGUUUUGUUGUGCUAGCCGCUCUAUUUCUAGUUUGGAUUGUCACAUUGUCUGUAUGUAGGAAGCAAGAAUUUUUUUUUUUUUUGGUGUGGUACUUCACAGCUUAAGCAGGUGAGUUUGGCAAUAAACUCUCUUUUUCUUCCCCUUUGUUUUUCUCUCUUUCAAGCAUAAUAAUUUUAUGGAUACAUUUUUGUUGUUUUAAUUCUGUCUAAUACUUGGGUUUGUGACUAAAUUUCCUAGGUUUCAUUUUCGUGAAGAAUUAUAAUUCCAAGUCUUGCAAAGUGAGGGUUUGAAAUUUCUAUUGCAAUUUUUCUUCCUUUGUCUUGCUGUCUUAUUUUAUUUUUGGUCAUUAUGUGUUGGAAACUUCAGUAAUGAAUUCACAGCUUAAUCUGACAAUGCUUAUUAUUGCUGUAGUCCACGAUUAUAAUCGUAGCGUGUCUUGAAUAUGUUUUAUGAGGGAAAGCUUUUGCUUUCUCAUCCUAUAACACGAGUUAGGCUUUCUAGGAAUGAGUUGGUGCAUGGUUUCUUUUUAAAGCAUUUGUUGAGGGACAGGUAGAUUAAGAAUGGUCCGGGUAUGGCUUCAUUCCAUUUAUUUAAUAGAUUUGGGUGCGUGGUUUAUUUAUUUUUUUAAAGGUGUUUGUUGCAGCAAGCUUCUGUAGAUCAAUAUUUUUUGCUACAAAUCUGUAGAUCAAUUUGUUUCUUCUAUUGGAGCAUAAUACAUGAAGUUUCCUUUCCCUUAGUGUUGUAGCUGGCCGGUAAUUAUGGGCCUAAAAUUUAGAACUUUUUUCUUGUUCUCUUAAUUUCACUUUUUGCGCAUACAUCUUUUAAUAUAUUGUUCCUUGAAUGGAAUCCUUGUUCCUUGUUGCACCAAACUUCUGUAGAGAUUGAUUGAUGCUGAAUGUGGUUUAAUUUGGGGCCAUUUUAUGUUUGCAAGGUCAUCGCUUAUUUGAAUGUGGUAAUUUCUCUUAUUGGUAUGGUGCCGGUAGAAUGAUGCUGAUCGUGUGGUUGCCCAGGUAGAGUUCUUUGGGUUAUUGGUUUGUCCUGUUAUUGGCAUGACUUAGGCUUUUUGUGAAUCAAAUUCUUUUAACAUGCACAUUUGGUUUAUCAAUUAUUUGUACAAAUUCUGUGAAUCAAAUUCUUUUAAUCUAUGUAUCUGGUUUUUGCAUCAUUAUUUGUAAAAAUGGUAUGUUGAUUGAUUGAUUUCCUGGUCAUAGAAAUGUUUGAGUAGAUGCCAUCCGUGUCGAAUCAAGACUUCCCCCUCCUUUCCUUAUAAAAAACUGAAGUUUAAAAUGGAGGAAAAAAUUAAGCACAUGGCAUAUUAGUUCAAUUUGUGGAAAAAAAACACUAAAAAUAGUAUAUUUCUAUUAUUACACUUGGGUAGGUUAGAAAUAGUGACAAAUAAAAGGAUUAUGAAUAGAAAUCUUCUUAAAAAAUACUUUUUUUUUCCUAUAGAUAAUCUCUUGAUGAAGCUGGUUAUCGUUUUUUUGAGAAAUUGCAGAGGGAGACGGUAUUGAUUUAUUGCUUUAUUGUGUACGCCACUUGUGGAAGAGAGGUUUACAUUUAGAACUAUAUGGACUUCUCUUCUAUCGCAACUAAACUACAAGAGUUUUCUAUGUUUGUGACAAGGCUUUGGUUUUCAAGAGCACUAUAAAUUCUGGUUCCCUCAGUAAGGGUUGAUACUUCCAUUGCAUCUCUUGUCUUGUAUAAUAUUUGGUAACACUCUUAUUGGUGUGGGCUUUCUAUGAAAUAUAUAUCAUAAUCUGGUUGCUGAUUGAUGUCAUAGAAAGUGGGUGAGAAGAUACUCUUCUUAGUCUGAACUAUUCUGGAUUCAUAUUUAUCAACUGAGGUACAUAUGCUUUUUCAAAAGCUGGUGAUGUCCGUUUUGUGAGGACAAUUUUUUAUCAUUUUGAUGAUCUUGAUAUGUAUUGUAAUUUGGAGUUGGGCUUUAUUCACUUUAACUAUAAAUAAAACUAUGUUAUUCUAUUGUUUUCAUGUUUUUAUUUUAUUUUUUUAUAAGUCUUUCAAUAUAUCGUUCCCUACUAUACAUUCUCUAUUCCAUUUAUUUUAUAGAUUUUGGUCUUCAGCAGCUGUUUUAAGGUGUUUGCACCAUAGGUUACGAUUACCAAGGAGCUAAUUCGUUCAGAAAGGUUUGCAUCAUAGUUCAUAACCUUAGAUUGCUGCUGAUUGAUGUCAUAGAAAGUGGGUGAGAAGAUAGUGUUCUUAGUCUGAAGUAUUCUGGAUUCAUAUUUAUCAACUGAGGUAACAUAUGUUUUUUCAGAAGUUGGAGAUGUUUGUUGUGUAGAUUUGUGAGGACAAUUUUUUAUCAUUUUGAUCUUGAUAUGUGUACAGCAGUCAAAAUUGUAAAUUAAAAAAAAAAAAAAAAAUCUUUAUGUAAUUCUAUUGAUGUCAGGUGUUUUUUUUUUGUCUUCAAUAUACUGUUCCCUACUAUACAUUCUCUAUUCUAUUUAUUCUAUAGAUUUUGGUCCUCAGCAGCAA